RNAcentral lists this long non-coding RNA (40516 nucleotides) under Sorghum bicolor (sorghum). RNAcentral's name for it is "long non-coding RNA (SBIC_LNC015279)". The record is from RNAcentral. Lineage: Eukaryota; Viridiplantae; Streptophyta; Magnoliopsida; Poales; Poaceae.
CUACCAGCCCAGCACGGCACAAGUGCGUCCAAAUAUAAUAAGCUAGGCACAAUAUACAGAAGAGUCUCACACACACACACACACACACUACUAUUACUUGUGAGGUCCGACACACUAGUUACUUAUCAGGUCCAACUAAGUCCACAUAACUUAGGUGACUACAGUGUCACUGAGAGACAGAUAGCUAUUCAGGGGUUCAUUACUGACCAACAAAUCUUCACACGCAACUCUUAGGUGACUACAGUGUCACUGAGAGACAGAUAGCUAUUCAGGGGUUCAUUACUGACCAACAAAUCUUCACACGCAACUCAGUUCCACCGACAACAAGUGGGCCUUCAGCUUUGUCGUUGAUCCUUGGGGAGAAUGAUAUGCGCUCAGAUUUACCAUCACUUGUCUGUGCAGCAAUCAUGAGCAAAUCCUUAACAUAGACACAUACAACAUGUCGCAAAAGCUUGAGGUCUCCACAAUUGUCAACAGUCAUCGCAUCAGCCUCUUUGCUAUCGUAGAGCACAAGCUCGUUGCACAUGUUGGCAGUGUUGGCAGUGAUUCUUCCAUGAAAACUUCCCUGCACAACUUCAACUGCAAUAGUUCCCUCCAGUGCACGAUCCACGACUGAAUAAUACACAUCCACAGUACUGAGCCUGGUUGCAAGAGAUUUGGUUGCAGACGUGUAUCCCUUCUCAAAUAGACGAGCUGGUGUGCCCCUGAUGAUUAUCAGUCCUUUACUAAGUUCUCUGUCCUGGACUAGGUCAUCCUUCAUCUUGAGAUCAGUCUCCACAUAGAUAUCUCCUGCCAAUGCAAGGCCGCGUUUUGGCCCAGUCAAGAUCAGUGAUUCAGACUACAGCAGAGGUUUAUUUACAGGAUAUACGUCAGUGACACAUGAAUUAUGUCUACAAAUAAAUAGUGCUGAAAAAAAAUUAUAGCCACUGUAUUAUAAGUAAUUAUGCUGUUGGGUACGUAUAUAGCUAGCUAGCUGAUGAAAAUGUCAAUGGCAUGGGAUCCGAAGCAAUAGAUGCAACAGUUGAUCUAUAACAUCCAGGAUCUCUCUCUAUCUUUUUCCUACAAAAAGAGCAGCGCUAAACGACAAAAGUGUAACAAGAAGCAUAUAUAUGUGUCUUUCUGAAAGUAUGGAUUUUAUUAGGCAGCAAGCAUUAUGGUGCCUACCUACAGUCGUGGUUACACUGUCCAGCAUGCAAAAUAGGAAUUGGUUACAGGCAGGUCAGGUAAGUAUAUCAGUCUUAAUCUUUUCUCUAUAUAUACACGAGUGAAAAUAAAAACAAGGCGGUAAUGCACAACUAGUACGAAAGGAAUACCUCAGAACUGAUGAGUUGGCAAUUGUCACUGUCGCGGCGGAAGUGAUAAACACACCUCUCAUCGAUGCUGUCCCUGACAAUGAUAGUGCCAUAGACAUGGAUUGGGUAGCCAACAUCAGAACAGCCUAUCUUGACAGACAGGAAGUUUACUGCCUUACACAGGCGGAGAAAGUAGCUCUCUUUUUUGUAAGGGGAAUCGAUAUGUCUCAUGGGACCAAUGGGUGCUGUCAUGCAUGCAAAGGAAAUUAAUGAAUGAGAUACUAGAUCAUCAGUUGCAUCUAUAUAAUCAUCAUGCCUAAUUGGAACUGAAGUGAAGAUGGGUACAAAUUAAUAAUGUGGAGAAGUGGAAACCAUCGUACAGGAGUGAAAAUUUAGCUCCAAUUAGUCCAAAACCCAAAUACAUAUCUAUUACGAAAAUUCUAGCAUGUGGAAUCAAUACUGUACAGGAGUGAAAAAUUUAGCUCCAAUUAAUCCAAAACCCAAAUAGAUAGAUAGGGAACAACAAAAAUCAAUUUGCAGUUGCAGAACUAAUUCAAAGGAACAAUUAUUAGUUGCAUAUUGUUACAUAUCUAUUACAACAUAAAUACUAUAGUUGCCGAAUUAAUCAAUUUGUCGGAUUGAACUGCAACGGGUGGGUGGGUGGGUGGCAUGCAGAACAUGCAAAAGGAUGGAUGGAAUUGAAACAAUGGAAAGGCAAGGCAAGUGCGGCGGGCCAGAGACUUACACUCCUCGUCGAGGUUGAAUCUGAUGAGGCCGCCGCUGGUGUAUCGGCUGUAGUAGAGGCCCCCCUGCUUGGGAUCGAAGUCGACGAUGCGAGCAGAGGCCUGGAUCGACUGACCCCUGGGGUCGCCUUCAUGCAUAAGGCGGAGCCCAUACUUGACCUCGAUGCUCCUCACCCUCUCCGCCGCCUCCGCUCGCUCGGCCUCGGUCAUGCAUGAGAAAUCCGGCUGCGGCGACAUCUCAAGGACGAGCCGACGAACCUCCUCUCGCAAGGCCGUGCGCUCUUCCUUGAGCCUGCCCACCUCCUCCUCUGACAAAUCUUUGUCCAUCGCCAACCUCUUGGAUAUGGACCCUAUCUUCUUAAAGUUCGCCUCCUCGCGGUACUCCACCUCUCGCAGCUCUUCAUACCACGCCGCCGCCGCCGCCACAGCCAUCGCCGCCGCCACAGAGCUAGAACAAGCCGAUCGAUCUAGGGUUUGCAAGUGGGGAUGCGGCACCGAUGGGAGGGGGCCUGCUGAGUCUUAUUAUUUGGAGAUGAUAGCCCGUCGGCCUCCUUUUUUUUUUUCUUUUUCUUUUCUCUAUCUACGGGGCCUGCCUAUAAUAAUAACCACGUUUCAAGCCCAACUCGGAAGGAAGGAAUGUCUCCAGCCCAGCCCAGCCCAUCACCCAAUCCAGUCUUUUAAGGCCUCCUGUCUAGGCUAGAUUACAAAAAGCAAAAAGAAAAGGGUCGAUAUUACCUCCCUCAACUGAAUUCCGAAACCUCUCUCAACUUUGUAAACCGCUCACCUUACCUCCUGGCCCUGUUAUAAGCAACUUUUUUUCUUUUUUAUUUAUUUCAGCUGAAUCUUCAAAAAAAUUAUAGUAAACCACAUGAAACAAAAAAUCAUAAGAUAGAAUUGGAUUUUUUUUUUAUUUAUGAUUUUUUUUCUAUCACUUACUAUGGUUUUUCCUAGGAUCUGCCAAAAUGGUGGUCCUUAUUAAUAUCCCUGGAGAAAGAUCAAAACACUUGGUUGCUACCUUUGGUUGCUCUAUUGGGAGUCUACCUUUCAUUUAUCUUGGUUUACCUCUUGGUCUCACCAAGCCAAGAAUUGAAGACUUCCUGCCAUUAAUAACUAGAUGUGAGAGGAGAUUGAACAGCACUUUCCUAUUUCUUUCUCAAACUAAGAAGCUGCAAAUGGUUCAUUUUGUUUUCACCUCACUCCUUACUUUUUUUCAUGGGCACCUUCCUCCUUCAUUCUUCUGUAAGGGAACAUGUGGAUAAAUAUAGAAAGCAUUGUUUGUGGAGAGGCUAUGAUGAAAAUAGUAGGAUUAAUGCUAAAGCUACCUGGCCAAUUGUUAGCAGGCCAAAAAAUGAUGGUGGUUUAGGAAUUAUUGAUUUAAACUAGUAUAGUGCCCGUGGCACGCCACGGUUUUAUUCUAGGGUGUACUUAAAAAGAACCAAAAACCAUUUUUUCGAUAGUUUAAGUCACAUUCCAUUCUAGAGAAUGCUAAUGUAUAACAAGGCACAAUAAAAUCAUAUCUCGUAUAAUUCAACUAAUUUAUCUAUUGAAGUGGAACUUGGAGUUCUCCAGGAUAUUAUAUGUAUAUUCAUUUGUGCUGCUCUUUAAAAUAUUCACUAUAAAUUCUGUUCUCAGUGAAUGUGACCUAUGUGAAUGAUAGAUAAUAAAUUAACUUAUUAAUUUUCUAUAUAGGCUAUAAGAUAUACAUAGAAAUUAUAUAAGCUUACAGUAUCGAUAAACGUCAGUCUUUCACCAUUCCAUGACUUUAUGAAGUUGUAUACAAGGAAGCCUCCUAAUUUCCUAUCGAAGAAGAGAGAAAGUGUUUGCUUGUUGUAGAUAAAAUCAAAUGACUAUUUGAUAAGAAAGAUAAAAAAAUCAAAAUAAGCUUCUUGGAUGAUUUUUUUAAUUCACGACGCCAGACAAAGAUUUUGUCGUUCCAUAUAGGAUUUGCCAAUUUCAUAGCGAGAUUGAAAUGAUUCAAAAUAAUAUUUAGUAUAGUUAUAUAUGACUAAGGAAGGUGUCCUAUAAGCUGAAUACGUUUCUCCAACAGUCAUAGUCUGCGGAUAUUUCAGCACGGUUGAAGUAAAUAGUGCAAGGACCCGUGAACAAAAAUAAACAUCAUAUUCUUAUACCACGCAAGAAUAGUGAAGAUCAUGCACCUGAUUGAUCUAGUGCAUAUGAAAGUACACUUGUUUCAGCCUUUCGGCGAGCACAAUACUCACGCUGCCUCGUAUUUAUCUCCUCUUGUUCCUCGUCCAUUUCUUGAGACCUUUUUCUAGCACGGUACUCAUGUCGUUUCCUAUUCCUUUCCUCUUUCUUGAGUUGUUCUUCGUUGCAAGCUGUGGACAUACAUGUUUCUUAUUUAUGACAUUGUAUAUAUAUCUCAUUGCAAUAUGUGUAUAUUUACGUACCUAGAGUAUGUAUGGUUGUUACAUUGCUAAGCGCAAUGCGUCCCUCUCUUGGCGUUCCCAUUUUCCGUGGAGGACUGGUAAGUAAUAAUGUGAACAUUCAUAUAUAUGUUACUCGUUUUGAGAAUAGAGUGAGGAUCGAGGAAUGACAACAAAGCAUCACUGAAAAAAGAAAUAUGCUUUGAGAGGCGGUGCAAUGUACAUGUGAGAUCCUUUUUUUUAUUUUAAUUGUACACCCAAUUCAGUAAUUCAGCCAUAGCAAUAUUUUUAUUAUUAUUAGUAGUAUUAUAUAUAUAUAUAUAACUUGGAUCUAAUGCAUAUUUUUUAUUUUAGUUGUACACCCAAUUCAGUUGUUUAGUCUUUCAUUUUUUUCAUUUAUUUAGUAUGUAAGUCCUUGCAAAGGCAAGAGAGAAAAUAAAUUGAACUGUCCCUUUUAACACCAAUUGAGAAGACAUGGCUCCAACGUUUUGGUUUGAAAUUUGUAGAAUCAAAACGCAAUAACUCUGAAGAAGAGACGCCUAAGCACUGCAAUAGAUGAACAGGGGCAGCAAGCAGCACCGACAAUGUGCGACAAUGGUAAAAGGGUGGAGGUCUGCAUGCACCUGAUCUGCACUGCCGAACCUGCCCCCGAAUGGGGGCAGAAUGUGUGGAUGCCUGAGACUCCACCGGCCACCGAAAGUGUGGAUCCCUGACCUGCAAUAGUCUCGCUCGGCGAUGGUGUGAUUAGCAGAUUUUUUGCAUACUGUGAGCAGCAGGAGCCCUUCGUCCUCCAAGAUCACAACGAAGACAGCGCCACGGCAGAUCGCACGCCGGCCGCCGCGUCAGUGACGGAGGAGACUGCUGCGCGGGAGCACAGCGGCCACCUUCACCAAGCUUGCUCCCUGCCGCGGCAGAGGCGAGCGUCGGGAUUAGCAGCGUCAGGCGCGAUGGAUGGAGCAGUCGAGCACGUGAUUAGCGGCGGCGGCAGGUGUUUUUGAGUUUUUGUGGGGGCGGGUGGGAGAGGCCGAGGAGGUUGACACAAGCAAUCUUGGUCCUUGGAUUUGAGUAAGGCCUUGUUUAGUUCAAAAAAAUUUUGCAAAAUUUUUCAGAUUCCCCGUCACAUCGAAUCUUUAGACACAUGCAUGAAGUAGUAAAUAUAGACAAAAAUAAAAACUAAUUGCACAGUUUGGUCGAAAUUGACGAGACGAAUCUUUUGAGUCUAGUUAGUCCAUGAUUGGACAAUAUUUGUCAAAUACAAACGAAAUAGCUACAGUGUCAAUUUUGCAAAAUAUUUUGGAACUAAACAAGGCCUAAGGAGAGAGAAUGCUCAAAUUAAAUCUAGACAGUCCAUUUUGAAGAUGUUGUAUUUCUGGGUACACUUUCCUGGGUGGAUAAAGAUAGGGCUUCUCAGCGGGGGACGUUUUCUGGUGUGGAGGUAGAAAAGAAAAACUCGGUGCAUUAUUAGGGUAGAAACACAAAAUGAAGCUCUCCUUUUGAAACAUUUGCAUAAAAUUUUCAACAGAGUUGAUGUCCCUUGGAUUCACCUAGUAUGGGAGAAACACUAUUCUAGUGGCAAACUUCCCUGUCAUAUCAAAAAGGGCACCUUCUAGACGAGUUUAAGGGCUUAGCCUCUGUUUUUUGUUGAAGAUGGAGCCUCCUAUCUCUUCUAGGAUGAUUUUUGGGCAGCCCCUAAAAUUGUCAUUCCCAAAGUUGUUCUCCUUUGCUAAAAACCCAAUAUUUCUAUCAAGAAUGCAAUGAGUGUAACUCUUUCAUCAGGUCUCUUCAGUCUUCCAAUGUUUGUGGAAGCCAUUGCCCAGUUUCAUGAAGUGCAAGAAAUGCUACAAUCUUUUGUCCCCACCUAUUGAUUCUUGGCACUAUAUUUUGGGGCAGUUUCACUUUCACUUUUAAAAAAGCUUAUCUUCAUCUAUUGAGCUCUAGUGGGGCUGCACCAAUCUUUAAAUGGAUUUAGAAAUCCUCGUGUCAACCGAAGCACAGUCUUUUUCUGGCUACUAAUUCAAGACAAGCUUAGCACUCGAAAUAUUUUGAGGAGAAAGAAUAUGUAUCUGCCAUCCUACAGCUGUGUGCUUUGUUCUUUGAAUAAUGAAGAGACUACGAAUCAACUCUUUUUUGAAUGUAAUCUUGCAAGAGAUUGUUGGGGCCUAAGUGGGCUAACUGUGAUUAGUUCACUAGACCCACUGCAAAGAUUUGAGAGUUUCAGAAUGCAUAUUGACAGUAGAUUCUUCAUAGAAAUCAUCAUUAUCAUGUGUUGGAGUCAUCAUUAUCAUGUGUUGGAGCAUUUGGACUGUAAGAAAUGAUGCAAUCUUUUAGAGGAAUUCCUGUUAGCAGCCUGCACGACAUGCUCGGGCAGACUUACCGCACUGACUACGUCAAUAGGCUCAACGUCACCGCCAAGAUGCCCGUCAUGGGAGGCGCCGACACCUUCCGCUCCUAGGGACUCUUCGACGCCUACUGCGCGCAGUGCCGACUCUGAGUUUUUUGAGGUCCAGGGUGAAACAAAAAUCUGGGGCCCUUUAUAUACAUAUAUGUAGGUCUUGUUUAGUUAGGUCUUAUUAGUUCACCCUAAAAACCAAAAACUUUUUAAGAUUUCGUGUCGCAUCUAAUCUUACGGAACAUGCAUGAAGCACUAAAUGUAGUCAAAACUAAAACUAAUUACACAAUCUGCCUCUAAAUUGCGAGAUAAAUCUUUUGAGCCUAAUUAGUCCAUAAUUAGACAAUAAUUGUCAAAUAAAAAUAAAAAUGUAGGAUCUCUAGUAGUCUAGGAUGGCCUAGAGGGGGUGAAUAGGCCUGUCAACUCAAAACUUCACUUUUUAUCAGUUUCACAGGACAGGGUGGCACUGUCGGCCUCUACACAGAGAGCUAAAGAAUAUAUUCAAGAAUAAGUUUGGGAAACUUGGAUCAGGUAAAUUUCCCAGCUCCCUACAAAUUAGUAAUCACCAGAACCAACACACAAACUGUCGGCGUCUAGACUCGUGGUCUAGACAUAAACGAAUAUAAAUAUGCGUGACUACCUAAACCUGGAUGGUGAUGCAAGUAGAACACAGAGGAUUUAUACUGGUUCGGGCCAAGAAUGCCCUACGUCCAGUGAGAUCGGGGGUCUGUAUUGCCUUGCACCCAGAGGUGCUUGUAGUAGGGGGGUACAAGCAGGUUGCGAGAGAGGGUUAAGUCCCAAGUCUCGGCUUUGUGGUGGACAGAGUGCUGGUUGCUACUCUGUGAGCGAGUGCGGUGGUCGUGUGUGUGUGAACUUGGUGAACCUGGACUUAGUUGUGAGCCCUGGCUCCCCUUUUAUAGCCUCAAGGGGAGACAGGUAUUUACAUGAGUAGAUUUCCUCUGUUGAAUGGUGAAGCCACAGUCCCGACCCUGUUGAAGCCUGUCCAUCUCGUCCUUGAGGGAUGGCUGACAGCAUGGUUGCUUCUGUGGAGGGUUACCGAGCCCUGUAGGAGUCAUGAGGGUCAGAUCGGUGAUACUGCUGAUCACCCUGUUAAUAGUGGGAGAAGACAGCAAACAGUGACGCUGGUUAACCUUCCCCAUUCCUCUUUUACUGUGAGGCAGUACACCACAGUGAAAGAGGUAAGGUUGCAUAGUGGAAGAGGUAAGGCUACAGUGACCAGGGUGGUUGGAAUAGUCGCCACCAUGCCCUGUUGCGAUAUGGGAGUCACUGCGGCUGUCACAUCGAGGGUACGGGCGCCGUGCGUCGGAAGCCUUGUCCUGAUGCGGUGGAGCGGCGUUUGGCGCCCAAGCCCCGGAGGGGUCGGGUGAGACGGAACUUACGUCCGAGGCCCAGGGGGUCGGGCGAGGCGGUGUCUGCGUCCGAGCCCUGGGGGGUCGGGCGAGACGGUGUCUGUGUCCGAGCCCUGGGGGGUCGGGCGAGACGUGUUUUGGGCUCGAGAUUGAGGAUGCAGAUGGACUGGGGCCUGCGUCCUGGUGAUCUUGUCGGGGCUUGCUUUGCUUUUUGCGAUUUUUUGUUGCUCUGAUCUGGGUAUCCCUUUUUAUGGUACCCAACAGUAGCCCUCGAGCCUUUGAAGGGGUGAGGUCACCUCUUCAAAGGUUCUUUUCUAAGGGACCAUUGUUGGCCAGGAAUUUUCUUUAUUUUUCUCCGGAGGGUGCGCGCGAGCGCACCCACCGGGUGUAGCCCCCGAGCCUUUUGGAGGAAUAGCAUUUAUUCCUUCAAAGGCUUUUACCCCUGAGUGAUGCGGUCGGGAGUAUUCGAGGGACCGGUUGUGUGUUCUUUACACGCAGUGCCUAUUCCCAUGGUGCGAGGAAGCCCCCGAGCCCUUUCCCCGCAAGGGUCGAUCAGGUUCUUUCUCGUCUUAUAAUUACGUCCCUCAUUCUUCCUUUCGCUCGGAGGAGGGGGUGGGUUGUGUCGUACUACCCUCGAUGGGCGAGUAGUGACACUUCCCUGGGAGCUGCAAGCGGGUAAAUCCAAGUGGAUGUCCGAGUCCCAUUCGAUAGGGGUCGGCUAGCGGCCUUAUGGGCACAUCUCAAAAUACCCGAGGGCAGUCACGGUGGAUCUCGGAACCGUUCGCCAGGUCCCGAGGGCUCGGUGCCUCCCUCGAUGGGAUCCCACUCGCGUGACACCCGCAUGGGUCUCGGAUAUGAUUGGUAAAGAUGCGCCGACCCCGUAUGGGGUUCGGACCGUGGCCUCUAUUGUGCUCAUCUUCAAUCAUCCCUCGCUCAGUCAUCCUGAGGCGACUGUUCGAACCUGUUCUUGUAGGUCAGCCUCGCAACCUCUGGAACGUAGGUGGCCAUGGCCUGGGGAUUUUUAGCCUUGAAAAGGCUUUUUCAGACUAGUUUGUAAUGUCAGGGUCGGGCGAGACGGAAUCUGCGCCUGACGGGAACCGCCUUGUGGUUUUCGCUCGGGGUCAUCAGGGGGUCGGGCGAGGCGAAAGCCGUGCCCAACGGAGACCGCCCCACGAUGUUUGGUCAGCGGGGGGUCGAGCGCCGCUUCUCUGGGAAGGAAGCGCCCUGACAUAACUUUUCAGAGCGCUUCUUUUGAGGCGCGGCGCGUGGGGAAUCGAAACGGCUGUGCCGUUGUGCCCUGAUCGGAUGGGACGUUUCACCUGCGAAAUUAAUGCGCGCGUGCGGCGGGCGUGAGAAUCGGAGGGAGUUGGCGCUUCGAAUUUUUCACCUGGUGGGGAGUGGGCGACGGUUGCUCUUUUUGCCCUCUUGGUCUUCUGCGAGCGACGCGGUCGUGGCAUACUUCCUCUAUAAAAGCCGCCGCGGGGGACUUGGUUUCUUUCCUCCCACUCUUGCGAAAAGAAGCUCUCGCCUCCUGCCUUUUCUCCUGCCCCCAUCUUCUCCACUUCCGCCGCGUAAACAUCCCUGUUUCAUCCAACGCCAUGGCCGGCGUUGAGGCGUGGCCGCCCUGCAACGUGACCAAGUCUGCGUUGGACGCCCGCAUGAAGGCCGGGAUUCUCCGUCCCCUUACGGACGUCGAGCUGCCAGAGUGGAUCGUUCCUUCGGCGAACGACAGGGAGCCAAACCCGCCCCCGGGCUAUGUGGUUUGCUUCCUGUCGUUCUUAGACCGGGGGUUCGGAACUCCGGCCGGUCGACUGAUCCGGGCGAUCCUCCACUACUACGAGGUGGAGUUACACAACCUCAACCCCAACUCGGUGAUGUAGGCGUCCGUCUUCGCCACGGUGUGCGAGGGGUUCCUAGGGGUUCCCCCCCAUUGGAACCUCUGGCUUCACCUUUUCAAGGCGGAGAUGUCCGCCCGCUACGUUGGAGGGGAGAAGUUCCCCCUACGGGUCGGCGGUUGUACGUUGAAGCUCCGCCAGCAGCGGUCCUCCCAGUACAUCUGGAGUGCGAUGCCCUCGUCGAACCGGGGGUGGCAGAAUGGGUGGUUCUACCUCUAAAACGACGGCGGGCUGCUCCCGACAUACACCGGGAAGAUGGUGACGGAAUCCCCCCAAAAGUGGGUGUGGGGUGCUCCCACGGGGGAGCAGAAGAAACUCGCCCCUCUUCUUGCGGGGCUUGAGAAGCAGCGGGACGCCCGUGUUACCGCGGCCACGGUGGCGACGGCGUUUCACAAAAGGAGUCUGCUUCCGCUGGCGCAGCGGCGAGCAUUUAUGUUCGAGAUGACUCGGGACGUCCCUUGGGCCGGAACGAAGAUGUUGGCCGAGCCGAUAUCGGCGUCGGACAUCACCGCCCGGGUUGAGAAGACGACGCACCCGGAUAUGAAGAACUCCUGGGAGGUGCCCAUGCGCCCCGAGAAGGGCUACAUUUCUCUAGUAAGGUGUUAUCUUUCGCGCUUAUUUCCUUUUCCCCCCUGCCUCUUUCCUUGACCAUUGCUUGUUUACAAAGGAUGGGAAUCGUCAGGGAUUCCCUACCCCCCGCCCAGAGGACAAGGAGACCCAGGCCAAGAACCGGGCCCGGAAUGAGGAACAGAAGAAGGCCAAGGAGGACAAAAAGGCCAAGGCAGCGCGAAAAGCGCAACGGCGGGAGAUCUCCACCAAGAACCAUCGUGAAGCCGAGAAGGCGGGGGUCGCCCCGCCCCCCUCUCCCGAGACUUCGGUCUCGGAGAUAGAAGGUGGGGGAGAUGACGCCGACUGGCUUGACGAGUUGGCGGAGGAGGAUGACGUGAUCCCCCCUGCCGGCGGGGGGAUCGAGAUCCCAGAGGGGUCGAAGGCCCGAGGGGGGUCUGAGGCCCUCGAGGGGUCCCAGGCGCCGGGGGGCGGGCAGACCGUCCCCCACAUUAUUGUGGAUGACGAGGACAGCGCCCCUCGGGAGGGUUCAGUCCCCGUGGGUCCCCAGGAGGGGGAGAAGGCGUCAAGGGGCAGAUCCGAGGUGCUCCCACAACCGGUAGCGCCAGAGAGCCUGGUCGAGCCCCGCCCGGCAUCCGGGGCAGAAGCGAGCGGCUUGGUGGAGGCGUCGCAGGCCGAGACUACCGUUGAGGUCCCCGCGCCAUCCGCUGGCGAGACGGGGGUCCGGCCAACGGCCCCUGGCGCCUCGGGAGGCCCCUAAGGAGCUCCAAGCUCCCAGAAGAAGGCUGCCCCCCGAGCGAGGUACGUAUAGGAUUUCUGAUCCUUUCGUUGAUUUUUUGUUUUUCUCUUUCUUUUGAUUCGUGUUAUCUUUUUAGCCGGAAGCAGAAGACGAUGCCAGUGGCAUUGGCCCCCCUGAAGGCCGUAAAGAGGGGGGCACAAUCGACCCCUGGGUCGGCAAGGCCGAAGUCACCGCCCCCUCUGAGCCGCGAGGAGGAGGAGGAGCGCCGACGGGGGCAGGAGACGGGGGCGCCAUGACGCCAAGGACCAGGGGAGACGGCUCGUACCCCCGGGGCUAUGCCUCCUUCUGCGGGUGCGGGUUCGGGCAGCGUGGUCCGGCCUGUGCAAGUUGAGGGAUGUCGGGCCAUCGUGGCGUCCAGCACGGCGCCUGAGGCCCCUACUGCAGGAGGGGAAGGCGACGCCCGAUGGGGCAAGAGCCUCGUAUUCUGGCCCAACCUCGAGGACGUAGAGGGAGGGGCCAGAUUUGUUCUGGACGACCCGACGGAGGCUUACCUCUGGCAGGGUCUAGACACAUGCGGGCGUGCCAGCGUCGAGGCGAUCAAUCGAGCUUCUGAGCUCAUGAGCCGAGACAUGUACAACCUGGCCCAGGUAAGGCUUCCUCCCACGUUGUGAAAUGUUUUUUGCUUUAUUUUGCCAUUCUGACUCCCUGUGGGACUUCCGGUUUUGUAGGCGCUCAAGGCUACAUCCCUGGAGAAGUCAGUCUUUCUCCGCAGGGAAAGAGAUGCCUGGGCGACCUGUGAGAAUGAAAGUGCUGCUCGGGAGGCGGCUGAGGGGGAGCUCGCAAAGGAGUGCGAGAUCUCUGCCGAGCUUCAGCAGAAGUGCUCGGCACUGGCAACCGAGGCUCAGGAGGCCCGGGACAAGGUCGCCCCCCUAGAGGAGAGGGUCGGGGUCCUUACCCGGGAAUCCGAGGAGCAGAAGGCAGCGGCUGAGAGGUAUAAGGCCGAGGUUGCUCGGCUCGAGGCUUCGCUCGCCGAAAAAGACCUUGCCCUGAACCAGACUCAGGCCGACCUUGCUGCUGCUCAGAGUCAGGUGGCCCGCUGGCAUCGGAGCUCGGCGGAGAACGAGAAGCGAGCCGAGGGUAAGACCUGUGUUUUUUGCCUUGGUCCCCUUUGCGCUUUGGGUUAGUUUUCCUGACUUCUCAUUUUCUUGUUCUGCUUUUCUACAGAGUCAGAGAGGAAGGUGGUCGAGGCGACUUCUGCUGCCGAGGCCCUGCAGAGGUCCCUUGAUGCUGAGGUUUCGGACUGCUCGACUCUUGAAGCCGUGGUUACCUCGGCGUGCGAGGGGCUCGGGGUGCCGGCGUCGGGGUCGUCGCUGCGGAGUCGGUCGAAGCCCUUUACUCCCGAGCCGGGGAGAAGAUGAGGGAGGCGCUCCACGUCGGGGUAAGGAAAGCCCUGGCGGUGGUGAGCUCUCACUACGUCGACAUUGACUUGCCGGCAGUCUGUGAGGGCUACAUCCUUCCUGAUGAUGAAUCGGAGGUGAAAGGUCCUAAUAUGGCUAGAGGGGGGGGUGAAUAGCCUGUUUAAAAAAUCUACAAACUCACUAGAGCAAGAGGUUAGUAAAUAACAAAGCGAAGCUUUUUGCUCUAGCUCUAAUGGGGUGUUUGCAAGCCACCUAUCCAACAAAUCUAGUUGAUAGAAUCACUAGGCACACAAGACCUAUGUCACUACUUACACUAGAAAGCUACCUAUAGUUUCUAUACAAGUAAGUAAGCUACUCUAGUUUGCGGGAAUGUAAAAGAGAUGGUUUGAACUUUAUACCGCCACGUAGAGGGGAUGAACCAAUCAAUAAUAUGAAGUCCAAUCACCGGGAGAAAUCUAAAGUACAAUUACAAUGGAGACACACGAUUUUCUCCUGAGGUUCACGUGCUUGCCGGCACGCUACGUCCCCGUUGUGUCGACCAACACUUGGUGGUUCGGUGGCUAAGAGGUGUAGCACGAACCUCGUCUUCACUAGGACACCACAAGAACGUACCCACAAGUGAGGUAGCUCAAUGACAUGAGCAAUCCACUAAUGUUGCCUUUGGCACUCCGCCGAGGUAGGCACAAACCUCUCACAAUCACCGGGAGAUGGCCACGAACAAUCACCAACUCGUGCCAAUCCUCCUCCGCUGCUUCAAGCCGUCUAGGUGGCGGCAACCACCAAGAGUAACAAGAAAACCACAGCUAGAACGAUCCCCAAGUGCCACUAGAUGCAAUCACUCAAGCAAAUGCACUUGGAAUCACUCCCAAUCUCACAAAGAUGUAUAAUCUAUGAAGGAGAUGAGUGGGAGGUGUUUGCUUAGGCUCACAAGGAUGUCUAGUAUGUUAGAAUGCCAAGAGAGUGAGCCCCAAGCCGGCCAAACACGUAUUUAUAAGCCCCUCAAGCAAAUAGAGCCGUUGGCUCUUUUCACUGGGCAAACUGCGGGGUCACCGGACGCUCUUAAAGGGGCACCGGACGCUCAACACCAGCGUUCGGUGCUCCAAUGUUAGCCACGUGUCACACUCGUGUCAGAAUCUAACGGUCACCUGCAGUGCACCGAACGCUGAGCGAGUUAGCACCGGACGCGUCCGGUGCACACCGGACUCAUGCGCAGAGAAUUCCACAAACCUGCGGGUCACCGGACGCUAAGCACCGGUAGCGUCCGGUGCUCACCGGACCCAUGCGCAGAGAGUGUCGCAAAAUACCCGCACACCGGACGCUAACCACCGGACGCUCCAAGCUGCGUCCGGUGCCUAUCGUCCGGUGCCUAACCCUAACCGAGUCAGGCUGCCUACUCACCGGACGCACAGGAACAGCGUCCGGUGCUUCUGAGUCAGCGUCCGGUGAGUGUUCCUCAGCGAGAAACACUCCCGCGACUUCUCCAAUUUUCGCACCGGCACAAUAGAGAAUUUUCCUCUCUCAACCCUUCAAACUCCACCUCCUUCUCAAAGAGUGCCAACACCACAAAGUGUGUACCAACAAGUGUGCACGUGUGUUAACAUUUUCACAACCAAUUUUUUUCGAAGGAGUUAAGUUAGCUCACUAGGUUCUAAAUGCAUGCACAAGAACAAUGACACCUAGUGGCACUUGAUAACCGCUUAGCCAAAGAAUUCCCCUCUUUAUAGUACGGCUAUCUAUCCUAAAUGUGAUCACACCAUCUAUGGUGUCUUGAUCACCAAAACCAAAACCCUAAGUAAUACCUUUGCCUUGAUCUCCAUAGGGUUUUGUUUUUCUCUUUCUUCUUUUCCAAGUUGAGCACUUGAUCAUCUUGUGGUCAUCACCAUCAUCACCAUGAUCAUCACUUGCUCCAUCACUUGGCAUGUACCAACCUCAUUAAGUCUACACACACUUAGUAUAGAGGUUAGUACUAGAGUUUCAUCAAUUAUCCAAAACCAAACUAGGGCUUUCAGGAGGCCUAGGAGGAGGUGCAGAGGCUUGAAGAUGCCGCAGCCGCCCCAGGAGGUGUUUUGGCCGCCUUCUUCGACGAUGAGGUGGAGCUUCCCCCCCUCAGCGCGCAAGGGCCUACGCAGGCAGGGCAGCAAGGCUCUUUAAGUUAGAUUUCUUUUUCUUUUUUUAGAUGUUAAGGCCAGUGGGCCUUAUAUUGUAUAUACAGUGUUAAUGCUAAGUCUAUGUGAUUGUUCCUUUUAAGCUUUAAGUGUCUUGUUUUCUUUUUCCCUAUGCCGACCCGACCUCGACAACGCGAGGUCGGGUGAGCUACUUAGAGUCUGCGCUAGCCGGAGUCCCCAAGCCUAAGUCCUUUUCCUUUUUCCUUAGUAAUUUUUGGAAGUCCGGAUCCGUCCCCCGACCCUAAGGUGAGUAGAGGUCGUCUUUGCUUGUGAGCGCGGAUCUUUCCUCGGGCUCAUACCUUAAGACUUAGGGGAUGGAUCUUUCAGUUUCCUAAAUCUUUUUAGGAAAUGGGGAAAGACCUUGGUCGGGGUUCUCUUGGCUUGUGCGAAAAAAGAAAAAAGAAUUGGAGUUGCCACAGGGGGUUCCCCCCUAUGUAGCCCCCGAGGAAGACUCGGAUUCUGUAAGGCAGGUCCGAGGCUUACUUAAAAAGAAGUGGUCGUAUAAUUUAAACUUUUAUUUAUUCUUUCAAGGUGAUGAACAAAUGGAAAUUUUUACAAAGUUCUAAGGGUAAAAGCGACGUAGCUGUUCUAUGUUCCACGCGUUUUUGAAGACCUCCCCUGCUUCGUUGGCGAGCUUGUAGGUGCCGGGUCGGAGGACUUCGGCGAUGACGAAGGGCCCUUCCCAGGGGGGUGUGAACUUGUGAUGACCCUUGUUGCUCUGCCUGAGCCUCAGCACCAAGUCGCCAACUUGAAAGGCUCGGCCUCGGAUUCGUCGCGUAUGGUAACAGCGGAGGGCUUGCUGGUACUUGGCGGAGUGUAGGAGGGCUACGUCUCUGGCCUCAUCCAGCUGGUCCAGCGCGUCUUCUUGGAACGUUUUGCAACUAUUUUCGUCGUAGGCUUGUACCCUUGGAGAUCCAUACUCCAGAUCCGUGGGGAGGACGGCUUCCGACCCAUAGACCAUGAAGAACGGGGUGAAGCCUGUAGCUCGGCUUCGAGAAGUCCUUAGACUCCAGACCACGGCCGGUAGCUCCUUGAGCCAUCUUUUUCCAAACUUGUUCAACCGGUUGAAAAUCCUAGGUUUUAGACCCUGGAGGAUCAUGCCAUUGGCACGCUCCACUUGACCGUUAGUCUUGGGGUGAGCUACUGCUGCCCAGUCCACACGUAUGUGGUGUCUAUCGCAGAACUCUAGGAACUUUCGCCCGGUGAACUGUGUGCCGUUAUCGGUGAUUAUGGAGUUCGGCACUCCAAAUCGGUGGAUAAUAUCUGUGAAGAACAGCACUGCUUGUUCGGCCUUGAUCCUUGUAAUGGGUCGGACCUCAAUCCACUUGGAGAACUUGUCAAUCGCGACAAGUAAGUGGGUGAAGCCCCCGAGCGCUUUCUGCAGAGGCCCGACCAGGUCGAGCCCCAGACAGCAAAAGGCCAGGUGAUGGGGAUCGUCUGCAGGGCCUGAGCGAGGAGAUGAAUCUGCCGAGCGUAAAACUGGCAUCCCUCACAGGUCCGCACGAUCUCUGUGGCGUCGGCCACGGCGGUGGGCUAGUAGAAACCUUGGCGGAAGGCAUUUCCUACCCGCGUUCGAGCCGCGGCGUGGUGGCCACAAGCCCCUCAGUGUAUGUCCUGUAGGAGCUUGAUUCCCUCCUGACGUGGGAUGCAACACAUAAGGAUGCCCGAGGGGCUGCGCUUAUACAUUUCCCCAUCGAGGAGGACAAAAGUCUUGGCCCGACGAGCCACACGCCUUGCCUCAGCCUGGUCUAGGGGUAGAGUGCCAUCGACGAGGCGUUGCAGCAGGGGGUAGCGCCAGUCUGGCGAGUCGUCAGGUGCAGGGGGCUCGGGCUCGAUGUCCAUGGCCUCCUGCUCCUGAACGGUGGAGUCCUUGGGGUCAGGGCCUGGUUCGCUUGGGGGUUUAUCCGACCCCCCGUCGUCCUUGUAGUCAACAGAGGGCUUGUAGAGGUCGCUGAUGAAAACAUCUGGAGGGACCGUGGCCCGCUCGGAUGCCAUUUUGGCGAGCGUGUCGGCGGCCUCAUUGUAUUUCCUUAACACGUGGUUAAGCUCGAGGCCGUCGAACUUUUCCUCUAGACACCGCACUGCCAUGCAGUAUGCAUCCAUCUUGGGAUCGUGACACCAAGACUCUUUCAUGACUUGGUCGAUGAUGAGCCUAGAAUCGCCUCGGACGUCAAGCCGCUUGAUCCCAAGCUCGAUCGCAAUAUGGAGACCGUUGACCAGGGCCUCAUACUCCGCUGCAUUGUUUGAGGCGGGGAAGUGGAGUCGGAUUAUGUAUCACAUCCUUACCCCGAGAGGUGAGAUGAAGACGAGGCCGGCGCCAGCCCCGGUUUUCAUCAAAGACCCGUCGAAGUACAAGGUCCAGCACUCGUGCUGAAUUUGUGGUGGGGGGAGCUGAGUCCCAGUCCAUUCUGCCACAAAAUCCGCUAGGACUUGGGAUUUUAUGGCUUUCCGAGGCUCAUAGGUGAUUCCAUCACCCAUAAGCUCUAUAGCCCACUUAGCAAUUCUACCAUUGGCUUCUCGGUUUUGAAUCACUUCCCCUAGAGGGAAAGAUGACACUACCGAGACCGGAUGAGACUCAAAAUAAUGGCGGAGCUUGCGUCGGGCCAAGACUACUGCGUAAAGCAGUUUUUGGAUUUGGGGUAUCGGGUCUUUGUGUCAGACAGUACUUCACUGAUGAAGUACACCGGUCUUUGGAUCGGCAGGGCAUGCCCUUCUUCCUUCCUUUCGACCACGAUAGCUGCGCUGGCCACUUGAUCAGUGGCUGCGACAUAGAGAAGAAGCGGUUCCCCCUCGGCGGGGGGUACCAGAACGGGAGGGUUGGUGAGCAGAGCCUUGAGCUUGUCAAGGGCUUCCUGGGCCUCGGGGGUCCAGGAAAAAUGCUCGGAUUUCCUAAGUAACCUAUACAGAGGUAGCCCUUUUUCCCCGAGUCGAGAGAUGAAACGACUUAGAGAGGCUAGACAUCCCAUGACCCUCUGUACUCCCUUUAGGUUACGAAUUGGGCCCAUGUUUGCGAUGGCCGAGACAUUUUCUAGGUUGGCCUCAAUCCCUCGCUCAGACACAAUAAAUCCAAGGAGCAUGCCUUGGGGGACCCCGAAAACGCAUUUCUCGGGGUUGAGUCUGAUCCCCUUUGCCCUGAGGCAUCAGAACGUUCCUUCCAGGUCAGCAACUAGGCCACUUGCUUUCCUGGAUUUGACAACAAUGUCGUCUACAUAAGCCUCUACCGUUUUGCCUAUGAGGUCCCCAAAGACUUGGAGCAUACAUCGCUGAUAUGUAGCCCCCGCGUUCUUGAGGCCAAAGGGCAUGGUUACGUAGCAAUACAUUCCGAAAGGGGUGAUGAAAGAAGUCGCGAGCUGGUCGGACUCUUUCAUCUUGAUUUGGUGGUAACCGGAAUAAGCAUCAAGAAAAGAUAAAAUUUCGCAUCCCGCAGUGGAGUCAACUAUUUGAUCGAUGCGAGGUAAUGAAAAGGGGUUCUUAGGACAUGCUUUAUUUAAACUAGUAUAGUCUGGACACAUCCUCCACUUCCCAUUUUUCUUCUUGACUAGUACAGGGUUAGCUAACCACUCGGGAUGGAAUACCUCCUUGAUGAAUCCGGCCGCCAGCAGCUUGUGGAACUCCUCCCCGAUGGCCCGGCGCUUCUCCUCAUCGAAUCGGCGCAGGCGUUGCUUCACGGGUUUGGAGCCGACUCGGAUGUCCAAGGAGUGACCGGCGACUUCCCUCGGUAUACCAGGCAUGUUCGAGGGACUCCACGCAAAUAUAUCGGCAUUUGCGCGGAGAAAGUCGACGAGCACCACUUCCUAUUUGGGGUCGAGGCUGGAGCUGAUCCUCAGCGCCCUACCCUCAGAGGUCUCGGGGUCGAAGAAGACUAGCUUGGUCUCUUCCGCCAGUUCGAAGCUCCCGGCGUGACGCUUGGGGUCGGGGACGUCCUGGUCACAGUCGCCGAGGCCGGUGAGAAUGGCCAGAGACUCAGCUAGGGCCUCGGCCUGCUCAAUGCACUCGACGUCGCACUGAUAGGCAUGCUGACUGGUCGUGCUAACGGUGAUGACGCCCUUUGGCCCUGGCAUCUUGAGCUUGAGGUAGGUGUAGUUGGGGACGGCCAUGAACUUGGCGUAGCAUGGUCGUCCCAGGAUUGCGUGGUAGGUUCCUGGGAACCCGACCACGUCGAAAAUGAGGACCUCCCGUCUGAAGUUGUCGGGGUCCCAAAGCAGACGGGCAGAUCGAUCUGCCCGAGGGGGUGGGCACGAUGUCCCGGCACCACUCCGUGGAAUGGCGAUGUGUCGUUCCUCAGCUGGGACUUGCUGAUCCCCAUGAGGGCCAGAGUCUCGGCAUAAAGGAUGUUGAGGCCGCUGCCUCUGUCCAUCAACACCUUGGUAAGACGAGUCUCGGUGAUGAUGGGGUCGACUAUCAAAGGAUAACUCCCGGGAUUGGGGAUUCGAUCCAGGUGAUCCUGUCGGUCGAACAUGAUUGCGCUCUCGGACCACUUGAGGAACGAGGGCACAGCCGUGCUGACUGCGCAAACUUCCCAGAGUUCACGCUUCCUCUGACUCGUGUUGAGGCGAGCCGCGCGUCCCCCAAAGAUCAAGAGACAGUUCUUGAUCUUGGGUAAAUCUUCCCCUUGAGGGUCGUCGUCCUUGGGGGGCUCUUCAGUGCCCUCCUUGGAGAUGAGGUCGGUGUAGUACCGACGCAGGACAGUGCACUCCUCAAGGGUGUGCUUGGUUGGUCCCCUGUGAUAGGGGCACGGCUUCUUCAACAUCUCGUCGAAGAGACCGGGGCCAGCAGGAGCCCGCUUAGGGUUCUUGCGAUCUGCCGCGGCGACUAGGUUGUCGCCCGACUGACCCUGCUUCCCCUUGCGACCCUUCUUCUUCUUCUUGGGGUCGCGCGAGCCUGAGGCCUCGGUGGCCACGGCCUUUUGUUUCCCCUUGGCAGCGCUGUCGGAGAAAAUGGCACCGACUGCCUCCUCGCCUGAGGCAAAGUUGGUGGCGAUGUCGAGCAGCUGGCUAGUGCUCGUGGGGGUCUUGCGACCGAGCUCGUGUACCAGCUCCUUGCAGGUGGUACCGAAGAUGAAGGCUCCGAUGACGUCGGAGUCCAUAAUGUUGGGGAGCUCGGUGCAUUGCUUGGAGAAUCGCCUGAUGAAGUCUCGGAGGGAUUCAUCGGGCUUCUAUCGGCAGCUCCUGAGGUCCCAGGAGUUCCCAGGGCGCACAUAUGUGCCCUGGAAGUUCCCGACGAAGAUCCUGACCAGGUCGGCCCAGUCGUGGAUCAUGCGGUCGGGGAGAUGCUAGAGCCAUGCUCUGGCCGUAUCGGCCAGAUGCAGUGCAAGGUUGCGGAUGAUGAGCAGGUCAUCAUCCGCUCCACCUAGCUGACAUGCUAGGCGGUAAUCCGCCAGCCAUAGCUCAGGGUUAGUUUCCCCUGAGUAUUUGGUCAGGUUGGCGGGCUGUCGGAAUCGCGCCGGGAACUUGGCUCUACGUAUGGCCUCGCUGAAGACGCGGGGACCCAGGGGCUCUGGCGAUGCGCUGCGGUCGUGGUCAGAGUCGUACCUUCCACCUCGGUGCGGUCGAUAGCGUCGAGACUCGGCCUCGUCCCUGUCGCGCCGUCUUGCCUCAAGGGUUGCCCGAACUUCAGCGUCAGCCCCGACGCGCUCGUGGACAGAUGGGGCCCUGUUGCCCCCUUGCGGAUUAGGGGGCGGUGGACCCUGCACCGUUGGUGCCUUGUUAGGAGGGGGUCGGUCCUCUUGACGUCUUGUGCCGUGGGACUGCGAUGCAGAACUUUCUGCGUUCUGCACCAUAGCAUGCUCUAGGAGGCCACGUAGCCCCUAGCGAACUCUUCUUCCCUCAGGAGUCGACGGCUCAGGCAUCGCCCUGAGGAGGAGUGCAGCAGCCAUCACGUUCUGGCUGGCCGUACUAAAAACUAGAGCGUCACCCCCUGCGUCCUCAAUGAUACGACGGUUGACGUCUCGAGCUCGGCGUCUAGCUUCACCCCCGUCCCCGCGGCCGGAUGUGUCUCGGACCAGGGUUUCGCGAAGUUGGCGGAGGCGUGCGUGUUCUUCUUCGAGCCUGGCCUCCAGCUCAUUAAGCCGCUCGAGGUCAGGGCGGUGUCCUCCUACGGGGGCUGAUGCUACCCCACGGGCUCCAGGAUCGGUCCCGGGAGUAGGGUUGGGAGGUGGGGUUCCAUUCUCCUACCUAGAGGGUCCUGCACCCCCCUGAGCGUUAUGCGGCGUCCCUCUGACCUCCAGGUUGAAGCACUCUCGUGACGGGUCAUAGCUCCCGUCGUCGGAGUCAGAGUAGCCGAGACAGUAGUUGCUGGCCUCCAAGAAGCGCAUGAAGGUCUCCGGGUCGCCACACCCGGAAAAGUCAGCGCCGGCCCACUCGUCAUCACCUAAGGUGAGAUCCUCUAGGUAUGACGAGACGGGCGGCGAAGCGAUAAGGUCUAGGGCAGACCUGAGAUGGUGCCCUGGAAGGUCCGCAUACGCACUUAACAAAGUGCUCACGGAAGAGGCGUACGUGGCGGCUGCGUUCCUCAGUCCAAAAGGGAGCUCUGGAGACGCUGUUGUUUCUCCUCCAUCCAUAGGUGGAGGGGGAUGAGACGAUGAGGCCCCUUUGUCCCCCUUCUGGGGAGCGAGCGUGGGCUGAGCCUUCCCCUUCGACCGGGGCGGAACAGGAGGUCGUGAUGAUCCCCUGUUGGUCCGGGGAGCGGAGCUUAAUGCCCCGCGAGCCUUUCCUCUAGCGCCUGUCGGGCCGGAGGAACGGGCGAUCUGGUGAGGAAUAUGCGGGGGGAGGGCCGGACGGACCCUGGCCUCAGUGGUAGGGUCAGAGAUCCUGGACCUCUGACGCCCCCGCCGGGCAGCCCCCGCAUGGUGCCCCGAGCGCCUCCCACACACUAACUGUGGUGGGAUCGGCUCAGGACGCGGCUCGGUACCACCACGUGGUGGAAGGAGGACCAUGUCAUAGCCGGAGCCGAGGGACAUGAACUCCAAACUCCCAAACAUCAUGAUGGUGCCGUGGCGAAGUGGGUGAAAUCCGUCUGCCAUCCAGGCCUUCCCUUAGUAGGAAAAGGUGGAUAUCACGCAAAAGGCCCCUACCUGGCGCGCCAACUGUCGGCGUCUAGACUCGUGGUCUAGACACAAACGAGUAUAAAUAUGAGUGACUACCUAAACCUGGAUGGUGAUGCAAGUGGAACACAGAGGAUUUAUACUGGUUCGGACCAAGAAUGCCCUACGUCCAGUGAGAUCGGGGGUCUGUAUUGCCUUGCACCCAGAGGUGCUUGUAGUAGGGGGUACAAGCAGGUUGCGAGAGAGGGCUAAGUCCCAAGUCUCGGCUUUGUGGUGGACAGAGUGCUGGUUGCUACUCUGUGAGCGAGUGCGGUGGUCGUGUGUGUGUGAACUUGGUGAACCUGGACUUAGUUGUGAGCCCUGGCUCCCCUUUUAUAGCCUCAAGGGGAGACUGGUAUUUACAUGAGUAGAUUUCCUCUGUUGAAUGGUGAAGCCACAGUCCCGACCCUAUUGAAGCCUGUCCAUCUCGUCCUUGAGGGAUGGCUGACAGCAUGGUUGCUUCUGUGGAGGGUUACCGAGCCCUGUAGGAGUCAUGGGGGUCAGAUCGGUGAUACUGCUGAUCACCCUAUUAAUAGUGGGAGAAGACAGCAAACAGUGACGCUGGUUAACCUUCCUCAUUCCUCUUUUACUGUGAGGCAGUACACCACAGUGAAAGAGGUAAGGUUGCAUAGUGGAAGAGGUAAGGCUACAGUGACCAGGGUGGUUGGAAUAGUCGCCACCAUGCCCUGCUGCGAUAUGGGAGUCACUGCGGCUGUCACAUCGAGGGUACGGGCACCGUGCGUCGGAAGCCUUGUCCUGAUGCGGUGGAGCGGCGUUUGGCGCCUGAGCCCCGGAGGGGUCGGGCGAGAUGAAACUUAUGCUCGAGGCCUGUUGACGGUCCUUAAGUAUCAAAUUUAAUUAUCAAAUAAAUAAAGAAAAGGAUCCAAAUGAAAUCAACAUCUAGACUUAGGGUUUUAUGUGACAGAAUUCCACGAGUUUUGGUGUUUGUCUAUUUCUGUAGGGGGUUAUCAGGAAAUAUGGAAGAAAGGCCCACACGUCGGGAUUACAUAGAGAUAUUAACGUGCCGCGCAAUUAUCUUACAUCUAGAAGACUCCAGAAGCCACGAGACCGAAGCGGAGGCGAAACGGGGCCAGAGGCAGGGCGCCCGCCCUCCUGCCCUGGGCGCCCGCCCCCUCCCUGAGUCCAAUCAGGACUCUGCUUCGUGGGAGAUCUCCACCGACCUAAAGGAUGAAUCUAAACCAUACAAUCUAUGUCGGUUUGAUCCAAUGGCCCAUAUUCACUUGAAGAGACUAUAAAACCAGACCCCCUGGCCCCUAGAGGAGAGAGCCUCUCAACCCUAAUUCAUUGUUCCUCAAGGGAGAAGAAGCCUCUAAUCAAGAUUAGAGCCACCACAUCAAUUAGAUAUCUAGAUUAGCAUAGCUACAUAGGAUUAGAACUAGAAGGAGUCAAUCUUCGAUUGGUUUCCGGAUCUGUCAGGAGGAUUCUUGGUAAUUCUCUAAUUGUGCUUCUAAUUGUUCUUCUAAUUAUCUUUGUUCUUCAAUAUUAUGAAUAUGACUUUGUUCUACUUCAAUAUAUUGCUUAUGACUUUGCUCUACUUGCUUAUAUUCAAGAUUAUAUUGUUCUUAGUUUAUCAUAGUUAUGUACUUGGCUUAGUUAGAUUGGAUCUAUAUACAUGCUUAGGAUCGUAUAGCGUUUAUCCAUCGGAUCCAUGGGUAAAUGAUAGAUAUUGUGUAGGCGUGGUGCUUAUACCGUAUUUAUCUGCGAUUGUACCCAAUAUGCCAGAUCGUGGGGUGGUUCGUGAUAGUGACAGCUUCAUUGAUUCUUAUAUAGUCCCUCUCUCGUGUAUUGGGCUGGCAGAGCAACAUUAUUACAGGGGAGUGAUUGCUAUGUUUCUCAUAUUCCUUGCUAAUAUCACUAUGCAUGGGCGUAGUCUUGUCUCGCAAUGAUUGCUAAGUAUGCUUGCACUAACUAUGAUAAUGCUAGACUAUAUAGUUAAGAAUAACUUAGGGAAUAUUCUUGUAGUUCGUUCUAAUACCAUGCUAAUGACUUUCUAGAGUAUCUAAUUGAGGUGCUUAUCAUAUUUAUUAUGUGGCUAGAUCAGAUUAGUUAUCCUUGUCACUAUUAUUAUUUCAUAUAUCUUUUAUGUGACACUUAUCCCUGUAUGAAGAGUUAGAUAUAAUGUUCUCAAUUAUACAUGCAAUGAUAGAUGCUCAAUCUCAUAUUCUAUUCUGUAAUCAAUAUUGAUGAUUGCUAAUCCCUUCCCAGUGGUAAAAAUAUAAAUAACGAUACCAGGAAUACUUUUCGGUUAAAAUGCUGCAUCGGUAUUAAUCUGUGCGCUUGCAGAUCCCAUUCAUUAUUUAUUUAGAAGAGCAAUUGCAUAUUUCAAUACCGCGUCUCUCAUGUCAUGCUGGGGAUGACAACUUGGCUUAAGUGGUGUGAGGGAUAGGUUUGGCAUUUUUGGCACCGUUACUAGAUUUAGAGAACUUAGUCUACUUUUGGUAAUGAUGUUAAGAAUACCCAACAAGCAUUUUUGGCGCCGUUGCCGGGGAAGGUUGAUUACUAAUCAGGAAUGGAAUAAAAGAUUUCGAGUUAUCAUUCGCAUCACUAAUCUGAUUGAGCUUAUCUAUUCUCUCAUACAGUUUUACCCUGAUAUUUUUCUAUUUUAUCUUAUGCAGGGGAAUGUAUGAAUAGAAGACAUCUUCCAGGAAAUUUUGUUGACAAUCCCGAAGCAUUAUUCAAGAAGACGAGAGCCAAGCUGAAGAAGAGAUCAUCAACACUUUAGCAAGAAGCUUCAUCCAAUCAAGAAGAUCACCGGAACCUGUCUUCAGAGUUCGAAGCCAUGGUGAACAAAUCAAUCCGCGAGUUCUCAACUCCCACUACGGACAGCAUCCGCACUGGACUUGCUGCAGAGAUCGACGGCAACUUUGAGCUCAAGCCUGGACUUAUCAACAUGGUGCAAUCCAACCAGUUCCGUGGGAAGGCACACGAAGAUGCUAGUGCUCAUUUACAACACUUCCUGGAGAUUUGCAACACAUUCACCAUAUCAGGAGUUUCCAAAGAUGCUAUACUACUUUGCCUCUUCCCAUUCUCACUGUUAGGGAGAGCGAAGCAGUGGUUCUACGCUACAAAGGAGAAGAAUACUACGUGGGCACUCUGCUCAACAAACUUCCUGGCAAAAUUCUUUCCCAUGGGCAAGACCAAUGCUCUCCGUGGGAAGAUUACAAGUUUUCAGCAACAAAAUGAUGAAUCUGUUCCAGAAGCAUGGGAGCGCUUUCAAGACUACAUCCUAGAAUGUCCCCAUCAUGGAAAGGAGAGUUGGCUAUUGAUGCAGACGUUUUAUCAUGGGCUCGGCAACAGUGCCCGAGAAACCAUGGAUGCUGCAGCUGGAGGAGCAUUCUUAUCACUUACUAUACCACAAGCCACAACUCUUGUGGAGAAGAUGGCGUCCAACCAAAGCUGGAAUGAAGAGAGGACCCAGACACGCAAGAGAGGUGGAGGUAUGCAUCAGUUGAAGGAGGUAGACAUGCUGUCUGCAAAGCUAGACCUGCUCAUGAAGAAGCUUGACGAUAGAGCUGGAGAUAAGAAGGAAGUUAUGCACAUCUACGACUCUCACAUGACUUGUGAGGAGUGUGGAGACACUGGACACUCAGGCAACCACUGCCCUGAGAUGCUUGAGGAUGUGAACUACAUCAUCAACAACAACUACUACUACUACAACCGUCCUCAACAAAAUCAAGGUUGGAAUCAACAGAGGCCUAACUACUCAGGUAAUUAUCAAGGUAACAAUUCUUACAACAAUAAUAAUAAUUUUCCACCUCUGAGAGAGUUAGUGUCUAAUCAAGGAAAGCUAAUGGAUAACCUAUCUAAGAAGUUGGCAUCUAAUGAUAAAAUGCUAGAAAAUAUAAAUAAUAGAAUGGAUAAUUUCUCUACUGCCAUCAAGAAUCAAAUUAGCUUUAAUAAAAUGAUUGAAUCUCAGUUAAAUCAAAUAGCUGUUGCUGUUCCCGUUACUAACCCCGGUAUACCAUCACAACCGGAAGGAUUAGAAUCUGCAAAUCUUGUAGACAUGCUUGAUGCAGGUAAUAAUUGGAGUAACCCCGUCACUGAAUUCUCUACUGACCUUCUGCCGGUCAAGAGAGGCGAUCCAGGACGCCCCGUCAUCCCGAUCUCCAUCGGCAUGGUGGACGUUCCAGAAGCACUCUGCGACUUUGGCUCUAGCGUCAACAUUAUACCCAGGGUACUCUAUGAAAAAUUCUUUACAUAUCCUUUAUUAGAAACAACCAUGUGUUUGCAGUUUGCAGAUCAGACGAUAACUUUUCCAAAGGGAAUAUUGAAGAACCUUUGUGUCCGAGUUGGUACCUUAUAUGCUCUAGCAGACUUCGUAGUGGUAGAGACCGGAAAUGAUGAGAGAGCACCUAUCAUCUUAGGGAGGCCAUUCUUGAACACCACGGGAGCUAUCAUCUACGCUAGUGCUGCCAAGAUCAGUUUCUACGUCAAAGGGAGGAAGAAGACAUUUUUCUUCAAGAACAAGACUACACAAAUUCCAAAUCAAUCCAGACGUGAAUCAAGGAAGAGGACCAGCAGGAGGAACAGGAACAAGCAAGUGUGGACCGAGUCAGCUAAGAUGGUCACUGUAGUUCAUGGAGGCCAAGAUCAUCAACUUAAGUCACCGCUUUUGACCAAGAAGGACGACCCAGGAAUGCCAAGCAUCUACUGCUCCAUAAAUGGAUACAACUUCUACAAGGCAACUUGCGACACCGGAUCGGGCGUCAACAUAAUGGCCGCAGUCACCUAUCGGCUCUUGUUCGGGACCAUGCCCCUAAGACCAACAUACAUUCAGCUCCAGAUGGCAGAUCAGACAUUUCGAGAAGUUAAAUGAAUAGUAACUGAUGUCCCAGUCAAAAUAGACGAUCACUUUGUCUACACAGACUUUCAAGUUAUUGACAUGGGAGAAGACGAGUAUGAUCCACCCAUCAUCCUUGGAAGACCGUUCCUCAGCACCGUUAAAGCAAUUAUCUACAUUGGAACCGGAGAAGUCCAUAUGCACUUCCCCUCAGAGAAGGUACGCCGUUAGUUUACCGACCCUAACUAUAUCAUUGAAGAAUCUAAGCAGAUAAGCAAACGACGCAACCGCAACCAGAGGAUGCAGAUCAUCAAGGACGGAUGGGCAGACUAUGAAGGAGAAGUUGUAAGGUCAGAAGACGUAGAGUUUAAACAGAAUUAUCUAGAGGAGACUGAAGCACCAAGUCAGGUGUGGAAAAUGAAGAUAACUAUACACGAAGAGGAGGCGCUGCCGGAAGUACCGACUACGCCACCCAACGAACCUCAGGACAAUUGAGAAAAUGGAGAGUCCCGUUCGGAGGACUUAAAAACACCGAACGCCUUGCCAAGAGGUAAACUUGGUAGUUAUCCUUUCCCUUUCAAUUAUUUUAAAUAGUUUAUUUAGUUAAUCAUAUUCAUACUAUCCUAAAAAGAAAAUAAAAAUGUAAAAGAUAGUAAGCCCCAUGUGAGUAGACGAGUGACAUAAAACCCAUAAGUACAUUCACUGUGGUGGCAUAAAAAUAAAAUAAAAAUUUCUUUUCUGCUUUAUAAAAUAAAAAUAUAAAAACAGGGAGUAAUAAUUAUUAAGGAGUCUCAACAUGAUAAAGGCUAGAUAUUUAUGCUAACACUUAAUCAAGUUCCACAAGCUUUGUUGUCUAUUUGAGCUCCACAGGAUUUAAGAAUCAAGAAGACUAAGGACAUUCUAAUCGCUGUCAGAAUGCUGCUGACUUUCAAAUACACCUCUGCCACCUGCUAGCUACAUCAAAAGAAAUUACGUCAAAAUUCAGCUUGGGGGAGAGCACCCCCAUUUAUCCCGAUAAGUAUUUCUAUCUAUCUAUCUUUAUACUUAUAUUAUUUUAGAAUAUAAAUAUAGAUAACUAUGAAAAAAUCAAAUAAAGAUUUCGUACUUAUAUAUUUGCCUUUUGCUUAGUGUGUUUAAUAAAUAAAUAAAGUGGCUAUGCUAAUCUGUAUCUUAAUAAUAAAAUUUAAGCAUGGAUAUGAUGAAUAGUUGCUCUGCCUAAUUUGCACAUUUUAAGUUCUCUCUCAAGUUUAGACAUAACUGUUAUAAUUUAAAUCUUGCCCUUGACCUAAACUUGUGGGAUGAAAACUUGAUCUGAAGUCUAAGUUGUUAACGGAUACGAUAUGGGAAGGUUGAGCUGCUGUUUAUCUGUUCCUGGAGAAUUUUAUCUUUGAAAAUCUUUUAAAAUAUUGCAUGAUGAGUUCCUGUAUGAUGAGAGUUUUAAAUUCCUACCACAGCCAUAUAUACAUGCUUGCUAGACUUUGAGCCACACAUUUACUAUUUACUCCUUAUGAGCAUUGAGUGUGGUCAAGCUGUGUAGACCCUUAGGAGCUUGUCAUGUAGUUAAAUCAAGAUUUCACUUGCACGUUCACUCAUAUAUGCUACUUCUACUCCAGAAAUACCAUCCACAUAUAUCCACCCAUUCCAUCUCCAGAAUCACCCAAAAAUAUUCUACUCCUAAUCCGUGAGAGAAUAGCCAAAAAUAUUUCUGUUUUCCCUUGUGAAAUAAAUGCUCAAGUUAUCUUGUUACUACCACUUGCUAUAUUAUCUCAAGAGAUGAGUGCUCUAAAAAAAGAGAGAGAAAAAAAUACGAGAAAAUAAAAAGGAGCAAGUGCUCGGAACCUCGAAAGAAAAGAAAAAGAGAGACGAGAGGUAAAAAUGGACAAGUGUCCGACAGUAGAAUUAGGGGUACAAGAUACCCACCUGAGAGAAAAGAAAAUAUAGAGCAUCUCAUUCUCCUCAAAAAGCUUCAAAGUGAAAGGAAGGUAUGUAUCCCCUCAAAGAGCAAAGUAGAAUUAGACUUUCACCAUUGUUAUCACCAUCAUCACCAUACACCAUUCAUUCGCCACACAUGCACAUCUUGAUUAAACUUAUUGAUUUGUUUCUUUGGAUCCAUGGUUUGACUAUGCAAUAAAUGUCUUGUGAGUAUGUAUACUUUAUCUCCCACCUAUGAGCUCCAGAUAUUAAAGCCUUAUUAGAGUAGGGUGAGAGAGAAGGCAAUGUCACUAUGCUUUAUACCACAAAUACUACAUAUCUUGAGAGAAGGCAUAUACCAUCACUGCCUUGGUAAGGAUCCAGAAAUACCACAAAAGAGAGAUCUUAGAGAGUCAUACAAAGAAUCUCUGAGUUUUAUUUGAAAAUCUGCAAAAACUCCAGAGCUAUAGCUGAUCAAGAAUAAGAGACAUGGCACUUGACUAGACUGUUCUAUCUUUUAACCUCUUAAGACAGAAGUGACGGUUACAAGUCCCAUGGUGAAGGUAAAGUAAGUAAGUUUUAAGUCUUGACAGUUUACUCUAACUCAGAGAUGAGAUCUUAUUUAAAAAGCAUGUGUACCGUCAAUUUUUAAAAUAUUGCAACAACUUAUGAUCCAUAGCUGAGUCUGUCCUUGCUCAGGGACGAGCAAGAGGUAAGCUUGGGGGAGUUUGUUGACGGUCCUUAAGUAUCAAAUUUAAUUAUCAAAUAAAUAAAGAAAAGGAUCCAAAUGAAAUCAACAUCUAGACUUAGAGUUUUAUCUGACAGAAUUCCACGAGUUUUGGUGUUUGUCUAUUUCUGCAGGGGUUAUCAGGAAAUAUGGAAGAAAGGCCCACACGUCGGGAUUACAUAGAGAUAUUAACGUGCCGCGCAAUUAUCUUACAUCUAGAAGACUCCAGAAGCCAUGAGACCGAAGCGGAGGCGAAACGGGGCCAGAGGCAGGGCGCCCGCCCUCCUGCCCUAGGCGCCCGCCCCCUCCCUGAGUCCAAUCAGGACUUUGCUUCGUGGGAGAUCUCCACCGACCUAAAGGAUGAAUCUAAACCAUACAAUCUAUGUCGGUUUGAUCCAAUGGCCCAUAUUCACUUGAAGGGACUAUAAAACCAGACCCCCUGGCCCCUGGAGGAGAGAGCCUCUCAACCCUAAUUCAUUGUUCCUCAAGGGAGAAGAAGCCUGAAAGCCCAAGUUUGGUUUUGGUAAUUAAUGACACCAAGUUGCUAAUGCCUUGUGUUUAAGUGAUUUGAGUUAGGCAUAGCAACACAUGUGAUGAAGGUGCAUGGUGGCAUGGAAAGGUGGCCACACGAUCACAAAGGGAUGAAUCAUGAAGUGGAGAUCAUGGUGAUAGACGAGGAGCAAAGUUAUCAAGGCAAAGGUAUAAACAUAGGGUUUUACUUUUGCCGGUCUAAGAUGAGUAGAGAAGUGAUUGACCGGGUUUAGAAUAGAUAGCCGACUAUCAAGAGGGGAAAUCACGGUUAUCUCUCGAAUCAAGUGCUACUAGGUCCACAUCUUGAGCAUAUGCAUUAGGAUCUAGUAAAGUGCUAACUUAACUCCUUUGGUAAAAAUAUUUGUGAAAAGCUAACACACUUGCACUUUGGUGGUGGACACUUGUUGAUGUUAGCACAUUUGCAAAGGAGGUGGAGUUCCUAGGGUUGAGAGGGGUGUGGAUUCGGCGCUUUUGAGAAAAAUAAGAGUAUAUUUUCUAUUGCGCCGAUGGGAAAUUUGGUGAAGUCGCGGGAGUGUUUUCUCACUGAGAAACACUCACCGGAUGCUGGGUGCGGAGGCACCGGACGCUGGCCUCAGAGUCCGGUGUGCUGUUAGAGCUUGACUCUGCUAGGGUUGAGCACCGGACGCACUCUGGUAGCGUCCGGUGGUUAGCGUCCGGUGUGAGGGGUUUUUGCAACCCUCUCUGCGCACGAGUCCGGUGAGCACCGGACCGUCCGGUGCCCAGCGUCCGGUGAGGUCGCGAGUUUGACAAACUCUCUGCGCAUGAGUCCGGUGUGCACCGGACACGUCCGGUGUGGACUUGCAGAGCGUCCGGUGUGUUGCAGGUAGCCGUUAGAAACUGACGCGCGAGAUUCAAGAUCGACACGUGGCCAACUCUAGUGCACCGGACGCAGGAGGUCGAGCGUCCGGUGCUCACUUAGUAGCGUCCGGUGCCCCCGUUUUCAGCCCAGUGAAAGUGGCCAACGGCUAGUUUCUUUGAGGGGCUUAUAAAUAGUUGGUGGCCGGCUUUGGGAGGCUCUCUCUUGCACAUUUGAUUAUUUGAGGCAUACAUUGAGCUAGAGAACACUCCUUCCACUCAUCUCCUUGCUUGAUUGCUCAUCCUAGUGAGAUUGAGUGAGAUUCAAGUGCAUUGCUUUGAGAGUUGCAUUUAGUGGCACUUGAUUCUUGAGUUUGCUGCGGAAUUCUUGUUACUCUUGGGUGUUUCCCGACGCCCUAGACGGCUUGGAGCAGCGGUGGUGUUGAGCUCGUGAUUGGAGAUUGUUUCGAGCCUCGCCAAGUGAUUUGUGAGGGGUUCUUGAGCCUUCCCCGCGGGAGAUCGCAAUUGGCUACUCUAGUGGAUUGCUCGUGGCUUGGAGGAUCCCCAUCUUGUGAGUGGAUGUGCGGCACCCGCUGAGGGUUUGGCUUUGGAUUGCCAAUUAGCUCGUGAUCCAUCUAAUGGGUGUAUCGCCACAACGAGGAGUAGCUUGCCGGGAAGCAAGUGAACCUCGGUAAAAAAUCUUGUGUCAUCUCUUGCCGAGGAUUCUCUUGUGAUUGUGAGUGAUUGGUUGGAUAUAUCUCUACUCUACAACGUUGGUAUAACAAUCACUCUCCACUCCUUUACUUACUUGUAUACCUAGCUAGUUGUUUAGCUUGUUUAGUUUAGUCUUCUUGUUUAGGAGUGUAACUAGCCUUCUCUUGUUGUAGUGCUUUAGUGUUUAGCUUUGAACUAGUUUGUAUAGGUGGCUUGCAUAGCUUAGUUGAGCUAGUGCUAGAAUUGCUUCGCCAUUUGUGUUACUAACUCACUUGCUUAGUAAAGUUUGUAGAAUUUUUAAAUAGGCUAUUCACCCCCCCUCUAGCCAUUUGGACCUUUCAAAGCCUCUAAUCAAGAUUAGAGCCACCACAUCAAUUAGAUAUCUAGAUUAGCAUAGCUACAUAGGAUUAGAACUAGAAGGAGUCAAUCUUCGAUUGGUUUCCGGAUCUGUCAGGAGGAUUCUUGGUAAUUCUCUAAUUGUGCUUCUAAUUGUUCUUCUAAUUAUCUUUGUUCUUCAAUAUUAUGAAUAUGACUUUGUUCUACUUCAAUAUAUUGCUUAUGACUUUGCUCUACUUGCUUAUAUUCAAGAUUAUAUUGUUCUUAGUUUAUUAUAGUUAUGUACUUGGCUUAGUUAGAUUGGAUCUAUAUACAUGCUUAGGAUCGUAUAGCGUUUAUCCAUCGGAUCCAUGGGUAAAUGAUAGAUAUUGUGUAGGCGUGGUGCUUAUACCGUAUUUAUCUGCGAUUGUACCCAAUAUGCCAGAUCGUGGGGUGGUUCGUGAUAGUGACAGCUUCAUUGAUUCUUAUAUAGUCCCCCUCUCAUGUAUUGGGCUGGCAGAGCAACAUUAUUACAGGGGAGUGAUUGCUAUGUUUCUCAUAUUCCUUGCUAAUAUCACUAUGCAUGGGCGUAGUCUUGUCUCGCAAUGAUUGCUAAGUAUGCUUGCACUAACUAUGAUAAUGCUAGACUAUAUAGUUGAGAAUAACUUAGGGAAUAUUCUUGUAGUUCGUUCUAAUACCAUGCUAAUGACUUUCUAGAGUAUCUAAUUGAGGUGCUUAUCAUAUUUAUUAUGUGGCUAGAUCAGAUUAGUUAUCCUUGUCACUAUUAUUAUUUCGUAUAUCUUUUAUGUGACACUUAUCCCUGUAUGAAGAGUUAGAUAAAAUGUUCUCAAUUAUACAUGCAAUGAUAGAUGCUCAAUCUCAUAUUCUAUUCUGUAAUCAAUAUUGAUGAUUGCUAAUCCCUUCCCAGUGGUAAAAAUAUAAAUAACGAUACCUGGAAUACUUUCCGGUUAAAAUGCUGCAUCGGUAUUAAUCUGUGCGCUUGCAGAUCCCAUUCAUUAUUUAUUUAGAAGAGCAAUUGCAUAUUUCAAUACCGCGUCUCUCAUGUCAUGCCGGGGAUGACAACUUGGCUUAAGUGGUGUGAGGGAUAGGUUUGGUAUUUUUGGCACCGUUACUAGAUUUAGAGAACUUAGUCUACUUUUGGUAAUGAUGAUAAGAAUACCCAACAAGGCCCAGGGGGUCGAGCGAGGCGGUGUCUGCGUCCGAGCCCUGGGGGGUCGGGCGAGACGUGUUUUGGGCUCGAGAUUGAGGAUGUAGAUGGACUGGGGCCUGCGUCCUGGUGAUCUUGUCGGGGCUUGCUUUGCUUUUUGCGAUUUUUUGUUGCUCUGAUCUGGGUAUCCCUUUUUAUGGUACCCAACACAAACCUGCAGAAGAUAUAUCACAGGACAGAUCAAGCUCAAACCCUAGAACAACUCAACAACAUAAGUAAGUAGAGAACAUAAACAGCACACGAUGAUUUAUCCCAUGGUUCAUCGGUCGCCACACAAGGCUGCACUUACUCCACGUUGUUGAGGUGCCCACACAAGGACCGACUCGCGCACAAAGGCUUGUCCUUCCCUCAUUCUUCAACAAGAGUGUUACCUCUUGAGGAAGGGGUGAUUUCUUAGCUUCAAGUCGAGGUUACAGACUUCUCUUGGCUGCCACACAAGUUGGCAAGCUCUAGGGCGACGUCUAGCCGGCUAGGAGCAAGCUCCAAGAGUAACAAACUCUAGGAAUGCCGACCAAACGUGAACCAAAUGCUCUUAGACUUUGGGAAACAGUGGACCUACUCUCUAAUCAAAGUUUGCAGCCUUUUUCUCUCAAGAAAUGAUGAUGGAAAUCAAGGAUUUGCUUGAGAGCUUGAUGAGCAACAAUGGAAGAGAGAGAAGUGAGCACUGGUGUUCUGUAACGGUUGGGACGAAGGAAGACGAAGUGAAUGGCUCAAAUGACCGUUGUGGUCAAGUAGGAAGGGUUUUUAUACCCUGUCUUCCAACGGCCAGAUAGAGGGCGGCAGUCAAACCAGCCAGGGUAGAACAAAGAGAACACAACUGAUUUGACUGAGGGUUGAGGAUGAGACAAAAGAUUUGAGCAUUAGGUUCAACACUUGAUCAACAGACUUGGUGACAUAUUUACCUAAGUAUACCUUUUGGUCCUUCAUUAUCAGUAUUAACAUAUUUACAUAAGUAUACCUUUUGGUCCUUCAUUAUCAGUAUUAACCACCAUCUCGAGGAAAUAUCACCAUUCAAAUUGUUGAGGGCAACACUUGUAUUUGGAAUCAACCCUGGUGCUCUAUAUGGAAAGAAAUGCAUAGUUUUCUAAACAUUGAUCAAACUGGAUAUAAAUUGCAAACAAAGUUUCUGACCUUUGGGUGCCGCACUCGAAACAAUGGGCUUGAGAAUUGUCAUUCUUUUUGGAUAAAAAAUAUUUUGAUACUCUUAUGCAUGUUCCUCUAUUUUUAGGCAAUGGCCUAGACAUGCAAUUGCAUGCAAUAUUCUGUUAUCAAAAUCAGAGGAGACACAAACAAGACAAUGUCCACCUAAGAAUGAAUUAUGGAAUUCGUGCCGGACAAACUAGUUCAAGCUAGAUUAAAUUCAUAUUAGUAAAUAGUAUUAACAUCUAUAUCUACAAGUAUUUUUAAAUAAAAAAAAUAUAUGUAAAGGCACUUAAGCCUUGUUUAGUUCCGAAAAGUUUUUAAAUUUGGUUAACAUAGCAUUUUCAUUUUAUUUAGCAAUUAGUGUCUAAUUAUGGAUUAAUUAUACUUAAAAGAUUCAUCUCAUGAUUUAAAGUCAAACUAUGCAAAUUAGUUUUUGUUUUCAUCUAUAUUUAGGCCUUGUUUAGUUCCAAAUUUUUUUGCAAAAUGGAUACUGUAGCAAUUUCAUUUUUAUUUGAUAAAUAUUGUCCAAUCAUGGACUAAUUAGGCUCAAAAGAUUUAUCUCGCAAAUCACAAGUAAAUUGUGCAAUUAGUUAUUUUUUUAUCUAUAUUUAAUGUUUUAUGUAUGCGCCGCAAGAUUUGAUGUGAUGGGGAAUCUGAAAAAUUUUGUAAAUUUUUUUGGGAACUAAGGCCUUGUUUAGUUACCCAUUCAAAAAGUUUUCACCCAUCACAUCGCAUGUUUGGACAUAUGCAUGGAGUAUUAAAUGUAAAUACAAAAAUAAACUAAUUAUAUAGUUUGGUUGGAAAUCAGAGACGAAUCGUUUAAGACUAGUUAGUCCAUGGUUAGUCGUAAGUGCUAAAGUAACCUACAUGUGCUAAUAAUAGAUUAAUUAGGCUUAAUAAAUUCAUCUCGCAGUUUCCAAAAGAGUUAUGUAAUUAGUUUUUUUAUUAGUAUCUCUUACAAUAUCUUACCAAGUAUUUGAUGUGAUACCAAAAUUUUUUUUGACCCCAAACUAAACAAGACCUAAACAAGGUAUUGCAUGUGUUCAAUGAUUCGAUAUAAUGUAUAGAAAAUUUAAUGUAUAGAAAAUUUUUAACUAAGGCUUUGUUUAGUUCACUUAAAAACCAAAACCUUUUCAUUAAGUAUAGAUAAAAACAAAAACUAAUUGUAUAGUUUGCUUAUAAAUCGCGAGACGAAUCUUUUAAGCCUAGUUACUCUAUAAUUAGAUAAUUUUUAUUAAAUAAAAAUAAAAAUGCUACAAUGUCAAAAUCUAAAUAAAUUUUGGAUAUAAACAGGCCUAGAAACUAAACGAGACUCUAGUUUCGCAGUGUCAUGAUGGCUACUAUUUUGUAUCACCGAUGUGAUGUGCAAUAGUACUGCAAUAGACGUCUACGCGCAUGGUACUGCAAGUCUGCAAUAGGCUGUAGGCAUGGCAGCGGUAGAAAAUUUACCACACCGAUGUGAUGUGCUGAUGACCUCUGAGUCUCUGACACGUGAACCCAGCGGAGCACCGGCACUCUACAGUAGCACGAGUAGCAGGAGGGCAGUUGGACAGGGUCUAAGUGAAACCCUUGUUUAGGCAUUGAUUAGUUCACCCUAAAAACUAAAAACUUUUUAAGAUUUUCUGUCAUGUAGAAUCUUGUGGUAACAUUAAAUAUAGAUAAAAAUAAAAACUAAUUAUACAGUUUAACUGUAAAUCGCGAGGCAAUUAUUUUAAGCAUAGUUACUUCAUGAUUGGACAAUAUUUGUCAAAUAAAAACGAAAGUGCUACAAUGUCAAAAUCCAAAAAAAUUUCGCAUCUAAACAAGGCCUUAGUUACUAAAAAUUUCAAGAUUUUUCAUCAUAUUAAAUUUUUGGACACAUAUAUGAGACAUUAAAUAUAGAUAAAAAUAAAAAUUAAUUGUAUAAUUUGUUUAUAAUUUAUGAGAAAAAUCUUUUAAAUUUAAUCAGUCUAUGUUAAAUACGGACGAAAGUGUUAUAGUGGUCAAAGAAAAAAAAAAAUUCACCAACUAAACAUUAAACCCAAAAUGGCGGUCUGCCUGAGAGCCUGGCGCGCGGGCAUGCAGUGCAGCCCAAUGCGGCUGGAAAUGCGCCAAGCAAAUAAAAAAUAUUUCCUCAAGCCCAGCCCAGCCCAGCCCAGGCGCGUUGCAGCGGGCGCAGCCAGCUUUUUCAGGGGAGGGCACGCACCUUCUCCCUUCCUGACGAAGAGAGAGAGAGCAAGUGCGUUCCAAACCCCCUCCUCCAACUCCAAACCCCCUGCUCCGACUCUGCGACACCGUCGCCGCCGGCCGCCGCGUCUGCUUCGAUGGCUGCGGCAAACCCCCUCUUCCCCGGGGUGAGUACCUCCAACGUCUCCUUCCCUUCCCCGGCUCCUUCUCUCUCGGUGCCGACAGCUAGCUAGUGUUGAAAAAACCCCAUUUUACGAGGAUGCACAGACCGUGCUCCAAAACCACCGUGCGGCCAUCCACACUCGGCGCCUGGAUGUGUCGGCGCCGGCGUGCAACCCCGCGUCCUCUCUCGCCAUCUCCGUGAAGAAAGGCGUCACUUUUCUUCACGGAGGUGGCGAGGGAGGACGUCGGGUUGGACGCCGGCGGGCGGCGACGGAACACGCCUCGCGCGUCCGCGGUAAACCUUGUCCUUCGCGCCAUCCACCCUCGCCGCCUGUAUGUGUCCGCGCCGGCGUGCAACCCCGGCAUUCCCUCGCCAUCUCCGUGAAGAAAGGCGUCGCUUUUCUUCACGGAGUUGGCGAGGGAGGACGCCGACGGGCGGCGACGCAACACGCCUCGCGCGUCCGCGGUAAACCUUGUCCUUCGCGGUCGGCAAAGCCCCGUGCGGCUGGGAGCACCCACCAUGCUUGAUCGAGCCCGUGCGGUUGGACGCCGGCGGCGACGGUGGGUCGCCGUGCGGGCUCGAACAAACACCAGGGACAAGUCGCCGUGCGCCGCAUGCCCUGACUCUGACCGGCGGCGGGCUGCUGCCUGGUCCGCCGCGGGCACUCUCCCCAGCUGGACGCCGAUGCUGGCUCUGGGCGGCCAAUGAGCGCAGUGCUCGCCAGGGCGUGCGCAAGCUAGUGAUUGAUGAUUGUCGUGAAACAAAGUAACCUGUUUGCUGAAUUGCUUCUGAUGAAAAUUUAGUUGAAUUGAAACACCGUGGUUUCUUCUGUUGCAGGCACCCACCACCGAUUGGUUUCUCUCCUAUGAAACCCAGGAAAUGGAGGAGCGCCACCAAGCUAUUCGGACAUGGCUCCAGAAUCAGUUGAAGGAGCUGGGAGUUGGCACAUUCGUUGUCAAUCACAACGGCGUCGAGAAAACCUUCUACCUCCUCCCCGAGCUCCGCGGCAGGUUCUUCAUCGUCAACUUGCAUGGUCCUAAUGGAGGAGAGCCGCUCCCAUUAGUGUUCAACUUUCACAAUCUCUACUUCGCUGGAUUUCAGCAAAACAACCGUUGGUUUGUGUUUGAUGACGCUGAUAUGCUUGGUAGUGGCUAUGAGCUGCCAGAAAAUGAAGAACACUGGAGGUUUCUGGGUUUCAGUGGAGGGUACACAGGAAAUAUGCUCAGUGGCGUGAGUCUGGGAAUCGAUCAGUUUGUGGCUGUCUACAACAUCCUCAUCAAGUACCCUGAUUACAAGAAUGGCCAGCGAAUCUAUGUGCAGAAGUCUUGCUUUAGAAUUAUGGCUGGUUUGUGUGAGAUCUGGCGCUUUCCUUGGUGGAACGACCGGGUAAUUGAGAUUCUCUCCUACUACGAGUCAUCUCCGGUGGACCAUCCUGGCGUCGUCGUCAAUACCUUCAGUGACCUGUUCCGUAGCUGGGACAAGCUUAGCGUACGCCUGCUGCUGGGCCCGCUUCUCUUCAAUACAUUGCCCAUCCUCUCCAGGUUCCCACAAUAUGGUCUAAUGAUGCCAGCAGUGGACAUACUCCUGAGGGAAGCAGUCGAGGAAGGUGAAGCAGAAGAGGAUUACUGAGUCCCGUCCAGAAACCAGCUUAAUGUUUUAGAUGUUUAAUAAGUCAAACUCAUGCAAACUGUUACUGCCUUUGCCGUCUGGUUUGUUGUUGGAAAUGUGUAGAUAUUCGGUGGCCAUUCUUCUGCUGCUGAUGCACCAAACUUGUACUGGUGAAUGCAAACUGUUCUUCCAUGCAUUGUGUUCCUCACUUUUAGUUGCAUUGGGUAUGCCAUGCCGUACAUUCUCUGUGCAAUGAUAUUCUGUUGUCUUCCCUGCAUUAUAUCUGUUAUGGGUUUUAGAUACAGAAAAGCUAUGCAGUAUGAAUUUUGAUGACUCCAUUAGCUUGUUUAUGUAGUUAGAUUAAAUGUGACAAUUGAGUGUCAAGUCAACAUUUCUCAUCAACUUAUUGGUUUCUCUUGCAAUAUGAUCUGCCUAUAUGCUCUGUUAUUUUUACCAAAGCUUAGUUGCUUUCAUGAUUGUCAAAGUUCAUUUUUUAAUGAAUGUAGCAAAGUUGGUGAUGGGUUCUUAAAAUAACUGAUUUUAAAACAUGUCUAGUUUUUCGAAGUACAAUCAGAAUCAUAGAAUCUGAACAUGAAAUUUGCAAAAGCAUAUAUUCUAUUGAUAAAAAAAUGUAGAAUCAAUCCCAUUAAUUCAGAUCAUAACCUUGACAGCCAUGUUAUGAUGAGUUUGAUAUGGUUGUUUUGAGUGGAAUAGUUUCUUUUAGUAUAUGAAUUAUACUGUUUGAGGGACAUUAUUUAUGAUGUGUUGUAGUAGUAUAAUUAGAAGAGAGGUGCUGCUAUGCUUUUCUCUACUGCAGUGACACUUUGUUAUUCACUUAUUCUGUGGGAAAACAGACAAUUUGGUUGCAACUGGCUUACUGGCGCAAUAAAAUUUUCAUUAAGCUACACAGUAUGCUAUGUAUAAAUUAGUUUUGUUUCUUGGCUGUUGGUAACAGAACAAUGAUUGCCUGACGAUGGUGUGUGCUGUGACUGUUACCUCUACAUGUGUUCUUAUACUCAUGGUUGGCUUUAGGAUCUCAAUCGCUUUGCUUCUUGAUUCAGGAUUUGGCAUCGUGUUUCUGUAGGUAGUAUUAGCAUACUAAACCGUUUUGUAACUUGUCUGUAAACGAGUUUAGCGCCUUUUUCAGUUUAUGAAGGGAUACCCAGCUGGGAUACAUUGGUUUGAAAAUCGUCGUUUCUUUUUGAGACGGUACCUGUUUGGCUAUGGUCUGGCACUGUAGUAACAAUAGGAACAUGGAUGAGGACAUGUGAUGCGCAAUGAUUUGAUGCAUCCUGGGACUGGUGGAGGUAAUACCAUGUGUUAUAAGAAAUGUCACGUAUAUACACUAAAAUGUAUAGCAUGCUUCCGUUCAUCCGUUUCUGGCAUUGCAGAAUACUACUGGCUGCAAUUCUGAUUUCCUAGUGCUGAUUUCUGAUUUCCUUCUGCACUGUGUUCCUCACCUUAUGCCAUGCCGUUCAUUCUCUGCAACGAUAUGCUGUUGUCUUCCCUGCAUUAUAUCUUUUAUGGGUUGCAGAGAAUAUACAAACAAUAGGGUGCUACCUCAGAAUCUAUCAAUGCUUUGCCUACAUAUAAAUUCAAAACCAAGAAACGCCGCCAUGGUGAAGCUGAUAAUGCCACCCAAACGUCCCAUCCGUUCAGUCCUCUCUUAGGCUUUGUUUAGGUCUUGGUUAGUUGUGAAAAUUUUUUGGAUUUUGACAUUCUAGCAUUUUUAUUUGUAUUUGACAAUUAUUGUCCAACUAUAGACUAACUAGGCUCAAAAGAUUCAUCUUGUAAAUUAUAGACAAGCUGUGCAAUUAGUUUUCGUUUUCGUCUAUAUUUAGUACUUCAUGCAUGUGCCACAAGAUUUGAUGUGACGGGGAAUCUUGAAAAGUUUUUGAAUUUCGGGGUGAACUAAACAAGGCCUUAGUUCGUAAAAAUUUUCAAGAUUCCCCACCACAUCGAAUCUUUAGUCGCAUGCAUAGAGCAUUAAAUAUAGACGAAAAUAAAAACUAAUUGCACAGUUUACCUGUAAUUUGUGAGAUGAAUCUUUUGAGUCUAGUUACUUCAUGAUUGGACAAUAUUUGUCAAAUAAAACGCUACAGUAGCCAAAAACUAAAAAUUUUGCGAACUAAACAAGGUCUUACAUUACAUGGCUCGGUUCGUUAUACCGAACCAGCCCUUUCUCCUACAUUUACGUGGCUCAGCUCAUUAUACCAAUCCACAGGUGCUCAGCAGAAUUGGGAAGGUUCAAAUUCUUUCGCUCACGGUGAAAGUUCAGUGCCACGCAAACAAUUACACCAUAGCUAUAGAAAUGAAAACGAGAGACAUCACAAUGGCAGUAAGUUGAAGU